Molecule: ribosomal RNA, 468 nt
Filed under: uncultured bacterium
Lineage: Bacteria
Description: partial 16S ribosomal RNA
Rfam family: Bacterial small subunit ribosomal RNA
Source: RNAcentral
GACGAACGCUGGCGGCGUGCUUAACACAUGCAAGUCGAACGGAAAGGCCCUGCUUUCGUGGGGUGCUCGAGUGGCGAACGGGUGAGUAACACGUGAGUAACCUGCCCUUGACUUUGGGAUAACUUCAGGAAACUGGGGCUAAUACCGGAUAGGAGCUCCUGCUGCAUGGUGGGGGUUGGAAAGUUUCGGUGGUUGGGGAUGGACUCGCGGCUUAUCAGCUUGUUGGUGGGGUAGUGGCUUACCAAGGCUUUGACGGGUAGCCGGCCUGGGAGGGUGACCGGCCACCUUGGGACUGAGAUACGGCCCAGACUCCUACGGGGGGCAGCAGUGGGGAAUAUUGCCCAAUGGGCGGAAGCCUGAUGCAGCAACGCCGCGUGCGGGAUGACGGCCUUCGGGUUGUAAACCGCUUUCGCCUGUGACGAAGCGUGAGUGACGGUAAUGGGUAAAGAAGCACCGGCUAACUACGUG